RNAcentral lists this ribosomal RNA (275 nucleotides) under uncultured bacterium. Its description in RNAcentral is "partial 16S ribosomal RNA". It matches the Rfam family "Bacterial small subunit ribosomal RNA", at positions 523 to 797 of the family's 1533-position model. The record is from RNAcentral.
AUACGGAGGGUGCGAGCGUUAUCCGGAAUUACUGGGUUUAAAGGGUGCGUAGGCGGCCUGGUAAGUCAGGGGUGAAAGUCCAGGGCUUAACCGUGGGAUUGCCUUUGAUACUGCUGGGCUUGAAUGAGGUUGAGGUGGGCGGAAUGUGGCAUGUAACGGUGAAAUGUGUAGAUAUGCCAUAGAACACCGAUUGCGAAGGCAGCUCACUGGACCUUUAUUGACGCUGAGGCACGAAAGCGUGGGGAGCGAACAGGAUUAGAAACCCUUGUAGUCCC